GGAGCAAACAGGAUUAGAUACCCUGGUAGUNCACGCCGUAAACGAUGAGUGCUAGGUGUUAGACCCUUUCCGGGGUUUAGUGCCGUAGCUAACGCAUUAAGCACUCCGCCUGGGGAGUACGACCGCAAGGUUGAAACUCAAAGGAAUUGACGGGGGCCCGCACAAGCGGUGGAGCAUGUGGUUUAAUUNGAAGCAACGCGAAGAACCUUACCAGGUCUUGACAUCCCUCUGACCGCUCUAGAGAUAGAGUUUUCCUUCGGGACAGAGGUGACAGGUGGUGCAUGGUUGUCGUCAGCUCGUGUCGUGAGAUGUUGGGUUAAGUCCGGCAACGAGCGCAACCCCUAUUGUUAGUUGCCAUCAUUUAGUUGGGCACUCUAGCGAGACUGCCGGUAAUAAACCGGAGGAAGGUGGGGAUGACGUCAAAUCAUCAUGCCCCUUAUGACCUGGGCUACACACGUGCUACAAUGGCUGGUACAACGAGUCGCAAGCCGGUGACGGCAAGCUAAUCUCUUAAAGCCAGUCUCAGUUCGGAUUGUAGGNUGCAACUCGCCUACAUGAAGUNGGAAUCGCUAGUAAUCGCGGAUCAGCACGCCGCGGUGAAUACGUUCCCGGGCCUUGUACACACCGCCCGUCACACC
Molecule: ribosomal RNA, 638 nt
Filed under: uncultured bacterium
Lineage: Bacteria
Description: bacterial SSU rRNA
Rfam family: Bacterial small subunit ribosomal RNA
Source: RNAcentral